Long non-coding RNA from Populus nigra (black poplar), 624 nucleotides. RefSeq lists it as uncharacterized. Lineage: Eukaryota; Viridiplantae; Streptophyta; Magnoliopsida; Malpighiales; Salicaceae. The record is from RefSeq and is a predicted model, not a curated record. The transcript is spliced from 2 exons.
UUUGCAGUCAUAACCUUUUGGCAGUUCAUGUCUUUUCAACGAUUGUUUGCUUGCUACGUUUCACCUCCAUUCAUUUUCUAAUCUGCUGCGUGUCCUGAUUUGUUUUCUUGAGAGGACAUCACCAGACAAAUAAUUGUUCCUUCCCUUCCUCUUUCAUUGCUAAAAAAAAAACAUGUCAGGGAGCAAUGAAAAUAAAAACUACUCUCUCUCUUUAAGAUUUCAAUCUCUCUGUUUCUUCUCUUUGAAAAAUGACUUGAAAUUCUUAUGGGAAGGAAAUUGUUUUUGAAGCUUGAUUCUUCAUGUUUAAUAAAAAUCUUGCAUAAAUCAACUGAAAAAAAUCCAUAUAGCGUCACAACAAUCGAACUUUCCAAAUUCACAAGCCCAGUUGAAAGAAGGAGAUCCACGGGGGAAGAGUUGCCGCUGCUACUGGCACCGCCAACACACAAAUCCACGACCAGACAAGCAAGAUAAAUGAACCACGUUUUCCUGAUGGUGGAGCUGGUGGCGUCAUUUCUGUCGCAAUUCUGUCGUCAGCCCACCAUUCUGCGUCCUGUGGUUUUGGAUGAGUCAAAUUGAAUUUUUAUUGGAUAUGAGUUAUAUACAUACAUCACUUUUCUCUUUUUA